This 76-nucleotide transfer RNA is filed under the name Mesorhizobium huakuii. Its description in RNAcentral is "tRNA-Thr". It matches the Rfam family "tRNA". Rfam says of the family: Transfer RNA (tRNA) molecules are approximately 80 nucleotides in length. Their secondary structure includes four short double-helical elements and three loops (D, anti-codon, and T loops). Further hydrogen bonds mediate the characteristic L-shaped molecular structure. tRNAs have two regions of fundamental functional importance: the anti-codon, which is responsible for specific mRNA codon recognition, and the 3' end, to which the tRNAs corresponding amino acid is attached (by aminoacyl-tRNA synthetases). tRNAs cope with the degeneracy of the genetic code in two manners: having more than one tRNA (with a specific anti-codon) for a particular amino acid; and 'wobble' base-pairing, i.e. permitting non-standard base-pairing at the 3rd anti-codon position. The record is from RNAcentral. Lineage: Bacteria; Pseudomonadati; Pseudomonadota; Alphaproteobacteria; Hyphomicrobiales; Phyllobacteriaceae. RNAcentral also lists the same sequence under 168 other names.
GCCGCUUUAGCUCAGUUGGUAGAGCACCGCAUUCGUAAUGCGGGGGUCGCGUGUUCGAGUCACGCAAGCGGCACCA